Molecule: ribosomal RNA, 253 nt
Filed under: uncultured bacterium
Lineage: Bacteria
Description: partial 16S ribosomal RNA
Rfam family: Bacterial small subunit ribosomal RNA
Source: RNAcentral
UACGGGGGGGGCAAGCGUUAUUCGGAAUCAUUGGGCGUAAAGGGCGCGUAGGCGGCUUGGCAAGUCAAAGGUGAAAUCCCUCGGCCUAACCGAGGAACUGCCUUUGAAACUGCUUGGCUUGAGGCCGGGAGAGGGUAGCGGAAUUCCCAGUGUAGCGGUGAAAUGCGUAGAUAUUGGGAGGAACACCAGUGGCGAAGGCGGCUACCUGGACCGGUUCUGACGCUGAGGAGCGAAAGCGUGGGGAGCGAACAGG